GGACAUUACCGUCACCAGGAAGAGGUGUUCCAGGGGCAUCCCUGCUUGAAGGUGACCUUCCUCUUCAUAGUGUUCCUGACAAUCACUGCCAUCCUGUUGGCCUGUACAACGAAGACUUCUGCAGUUCCGGCCUUACCAAUACCCCAGCAGCAUUUACCUCUCUUGCUGAUGACAGUUCAGUAAUUUUCAAAAAAGAUUACAUCUACUCAAGCAACUAAAAUAUAUCUCUCAUUCAAGGAGCGAAUCAUGCUACUUUCUUGCCUUUAUCAUAAUU
Long non-coding RNA from Mobula hypostoma (lesser devil ray), 274 nucleotides. RefSeq lists it as uncharacterized. Lineage: Eukaryota; Metazoa; Chordata; Chondrichthyes; Myliobatiformes; Myliobatidae. The record is from RefSeq and is a predicted model, not a curated record. The transcript has 3 exons.